CCUACGGGAGGCAGCAGUAAGGAAUAUUGGACAAUGCUCGCAAGAGUGAUCCAGCCAUGCCGCGUGCAGGAAGAAUGCCCUAUGGGUAGUAAACUGCUUUUGAACUAGAGAAAACCCCAGUACGUGUACUGGGCUGAUAGUAUAGUUAGAAUAAGCAUCGGCUAACUUCGUGCCAGCAGCCGCGGUAAGACGAAGGAUGCAAGCGUUAUCCGGAUUCAUUGGGUUUAAAGGGAGCGUAGGUGGACUGAUAAGUCAGUGGUGAAAUCUCCGAGCUUAACUCGGAAAUUGCCAUUGAUACUGUUGGUCUUGAGUACAGUUGCUGUGGGCGGAAUAUGACAUGUAGUGGUGAAAUACAUAGAGAUGUCAUAGAACACCGAUUGCGAAGGCAGCUCACAAAGCUGUAACUGACACUGAGGCUCGAAAGUGCGGGGAUCAAACAGGAUUAGAUACCCUGGUAGUCCGCACCGUAAACGAUGAUUACUCGCUGCUAGGGGGCAACCUUUAGUGGCUUAGCGAAAGCGAUAAGUAAUCCACCUGGGGAGUACGCCGGCAACGGUGAAACGUUACAAGGAAUUGACGGCGNGAGAGNGCGAGGACGACACGAGGGAGGAGG
This 613-nucleotide ribosomal RNA is filed under the name uncultured bacterium. Its description in RNAcentral is "bacterial SSU rRNA". It matches the Rfam family "Bacterial small subunit ribosomal RNA", at positions 338 to 951 of the family's 1533-position model. The record is from RNAcentral.